GUUUUGAAGAAAAAUCAGCAAGGUAUCUGUUAUCAAGAUGAUACUGAUAAUUAUAGAUAUUCUGAUAUUCAUAUUAAUAAAUAUUCUAUCUGUUAUACAUGCACAUGAAUUACAUCUAACUUGCUGUCUAAUUAAUACCCUUUUUGAUUAUUUUUCUUAGUUAAGUGAUUCCUAUAUUUUACUGUUCUUCGAUCAUUUAAAAAUAAUUUAGGAUGGGGAAAAGGGGGGAGAGAUUUUUGAUUUGCAAUACAUGGACUGAAUUAACUGUAUAAAAUAUAUAAGAAAUAACCAGAAAUUGUAAAUUUUCAAGUUAAAGGGUAUAUAUAGAAAUUAGGCAAAACAAUGUCUCUGUUUUCAUGUGACAUGUUUGUUUUGAGAAAAAAAUGUGUGGAGAAACAGGAAUUUUGGUUGGCAAUAAUGUUUCAAUGGACAUGAUGGAUAGACUAGAAAAAAACAGAGGAAUUAUAAAAUGUUUCAUUUGGGAAA
Molecule: long non-coding RNA, 486 nt
Filed under: Mytilus galloprovincialis (Mediterranean mussel)
Lineage: Eukaryota; Metazoa; Mollusca; Bivalvia; Mytilida; Mytilidae
Source: RNAcentral